UGGGGAAUUUUGGACAAUGGACGCAAGUCUGAUCCAGCCAUGCCGCGUGCGGGAAGAAGGCCUUCGGGUUGUAAGCCGCUUUUGUCAGGGAAGAAACGAGUUUCUCUAAUACAGAGACUUAAUGACGGUACCUGAAGAAUAAGCACCGGCUAACUACGUGCCAGCAGCCGCGGUAAUACGUAGGGUGCAAGCGUUAAUCGGAAUUACUGGGCGUAAAGCGUGCGCAGGCGGUUAUGCAAGACAGAUGUGAAAUCCCCGGGCUCAACCUGGGAACUGCAUUUGUGACUGCAUAGCUGGAGUGCGGCAGAGGGGGAUGGAAUUCCGCGUGUAGCAGUGAAAUGCGUAGAUAUGCGGAGGAACACCGAUGGCGAAGGCAAUCCCCUGGGCCUGUACUGACGCUCAUGCACGAAAGCGUGGGGAGCAAACA
This 427-nucleotide ribosomal RNA is filed under the name uncultured bacterium. Its description in RNAcentral is "bacterial SSU rRNA". It matches the Rfam family "Bacterial small subunit ribosomal RNA", at positions 355 to 774 of the family's 1533-position model. The record is from RNAcentral.